This 490-nucleotide ribosomal RNA is filed under the name uncultured soil bacterium. RNAcentral describes it as "bacterial SSU rRNA". It matches the Rfam family "Bacterial small subunit ribosomal RNA", at positions 26 to 517 of the family's 1533-position model. The record is from RNAcentral.
AGAUUGAACGCUGGCGGCAGGCCUAACACAUGCAAGUCGAGCGGUAGAGAGGUGCUUGCGCCUCUUGAGAGCGGCGGACGGGUGAGUAAAGCCUAGGAAUCUGCCUGGUAGUGGGGGAUAACGCUCGGAAACGGACGCUAAUACCGCAUACGUCCUACGGGAGAAAGCAGGGGACCUUCGGGCCUUGCGCUAUCAGAUGAGCCUAGGUCGGAUUAGCUAGUUGGUGAGGUAAUGGCUCACCAAGGCGACGAUCCGUAACUGGUCUGAGAGGAUGAUCAGUCACACUGGAACUGGGACACGGUCCAGACUCCUACGGGAGGCAGCAGUGGGAAUAUUGGACAAUGGGCGAAAGCCUGAUCAGCAUGCCGCGUGUGUGAAGAAGGUCUCGGAUUGUAAAGCACUUUAAGUGGAGGAAGGCAAUUAACCUAAUACGUUAGUGUUUUGACGUUACCGACAGAAUAAGCACCGGCUAACUCUGUGCCAGCAGCCG